AUCGAACGCUGGCGGCAGGCUUAACACAUGCAAGUCGAGCGGGGGAAGGUAGCUUGCUACCGGACCUAGCGGCGGACGGGUGAGUAAUGCUUAGGAAUCUGCCUAUUAGUGGGGGACAACAUCUCGAAAGGGAUGCUAAUACCGCAUACGUCCUACGGGAGAAAGCAGGGGAUCUUCGGACCUUGCGCUAAUAGAUGAGCCUAAGUCGGAUUAGCUAGUUGGUGGGGUAAAGGCCUACCAAGGCGACGAUCUGUAGCGGGUCUGAGAGGAUGAUCCGCCACACUGGGACUGAGACACGGCCCAGACUCCUACGGGAGGCAGCAGUGGGGAAUAUUGGACAAUGGGGGGAACCCUGAUCCAGCCAUGCCGCGUGUGUGAAGAAGGCCUUAUGGUUGUAAAGCACUUUAAGCGAGGAGGAGGCUACUCUAGUUAAUACCUAGGGAUAGUGGACGUUACUCGCAGAAUAAGCACCGGCUAACUACGUGCCAGCCGCCGCAGUAA
This 501-nucleotide ribosomal RNA is filed under the name uncultured bacterium. RNAcentral describes it as "partial 16S ribosomal RNA". It matches the Rfam family "Bacterial small subunit ribosomal RNA", at positions 30 to 523 of the family's 1533-position model. The record is from RNAcentral.